RNAcentral lists this microRNA (24 nucleotides) under Zea mays. RNAcentral's name for it is "microRNA miR-3124b". Lineage: Eukaryota; Viridiplantae; Streptophyta; Magnoliopsida; Poales; Poaceae. The record is from RNAcentral.
AUGUGAUAUUAAGUAGAGAUGGUA